RNAcentral lists this long non-coding RNA (1046 nucleotides) under Zonotrichia albicollis (white-throated sparrow). RNAcentral describes it as "lncRNA (ENSZALG00000000426.1)". The record is from RNAcentral. Lineage: Eukaryota; Metazoa; Chordata; Aves; Passeriformes; Passerellidae.
UAUCAUUGCCUGUGGGAUCCGAGUAAGCCACUGACAUAAUACAAAGGUUUACGUCAAAAUACGAAAAGUGAAGAGCAAAAUCAUUCUGUUUCACGUUAAUGGGUAUUUCUGUGACGUAAAAAUCUCCUCUCCCUUUAGAUUAAUUGCAUUGAUAAAAUACAGCACUGGAUGUUAUUACAUGUACGGCUGCCCCACCGUUUCAGAGGCAACGUUGGAGGGCGGGGAGCCACUUCCAGUCCUCUCCCCACUUGCCCAACACUUUUUUCCUCUGGUAAUUGACUUCUCCUUUUGCCCGCUCACCAAUGUCCUGACAUAGGACACUGUCCAGGUUGUGGGCAGAGCACACGGCGGGUCGGUGACAGCCCUGAACCAGAGCCAUGUUCCUGUGCCGUGGUGUGGGGUGCGUAAACUGCAGGGCAGGGCAGGGUGUUGGCCACGGAUGCUGUUCCUGGUGCCUUCUCGCUCCUAAUAAAAGCGUCCCUGCCAAAGAAACCAACAGCCUGUGUAUGAAAUAUUUCCUUACCUGUGGGUGCAUUGUCUUUCAGAAACUAAAGAGAAAUCAAGAUCCCCUCCACGCAUCUCUUGAUCUUCACCAGACUUGAAGAACCUGUAGCUCUUAGAGCUGGAGGUAUGUUUGCUUUGUGUUUCAUGUAUUUGCUCUUUCUACCCUACCAACUGUCUGCAUGAAGCAGGCACUGUCAAAGGCCAAAAAUUUGAAACCAUUUCUUUCACUACAGUUUCCACAAGUGGCUAUAAUGUGUGCAAUAUAAAGCAAUUAAGCUAUUGGCAGUCAUAUUGUUUGGAGGGCCAAAUAUGUCAUCUGUGGCUGAAAUACUGAGGAACAUGGAAUGGGUUCCUGCAGGGAUCUCUGAAAUUCCACAAGGAGUGAUAUUAUUAAUUUAGUUAAGCUAUAAGAAGUAAAUGGUUUUGCAUGUGAUAUUGCAUGAUUUAUUGCUCAUUUAUUCCAGUUACACCAGCCUGUCUUAUGCCCAUCCUCAGUUACAUCUACAGGAGUAAUUACCCAAUAAAAAACAGAAAGGAAAUCA